Molecule: long non-coding RNA, 650 nt
Organism: Folsomia candida
Lineage: Eukaryota; Metazoa; Arthropoda; Collembola; Entomobryomorpha; Isotomidae
Exons: 2
Source: RefSeq, a predicted model, not a curated record
UCUGUCAGAUCUUUGUCGAUCCAACCUGCCAGCUGCCUUCAAGGUUCUCUUCUUAAAAAUCCAAAUAUCUGUUCUUGUUGAGUAAAAAUAAUACAAUAUAAAUACAAAAUGAAAUCGAAAUUAGUCACGUUAAUUGUGACGAUAAGUGUCCUCGUAACUGCGCUCUACUUGGCGAACAAAAUCUCCAAGGAUAUUUUCAUUCCAGUAUUAAAUGAAACGGGGUCGUAAAGUUAUUGAUGGAAAUGAAUUACGAAAUCCUGUAAUUACUAAUUAGUACACAAAUUAAAAUCAGACUAGGACUGGACGAUAUGUAUUUUCUUAUCUAUUUUGUAUCUGAGAAAAAUAUUACUCAUUUUGUCAAUUAGUUCGUAAGUAAAUCACAUAGAAAUCACAUCUUUAAAAGUAGUUUGCAGAUAUGCUUUUAGGGAAUUAUCUUUGCAAAAUUUCCCAACCCUAAUUUUUCUAAAAUAUUUACAUUGUCAAACAUUAUUCAUUAAAUUGGCUAAAUAAUUAAUAUCAUCAUAUUUUCAAUUGCUCUCAAAAUUAUGCGUACUACAAAAUUGUAAUGAAAAUAUAAAUCUAAACUAGUGACAAUUCCCACGUGACGUCGCGAAUUUAAUGAAUGAAAUACAUAUGUAAUCAUGAUAAAA